RNAcentral lists this non-coding RNA (28 nucleotides) under Bombyx mori (domestic silkworm). Lineage: Eukaryota; Metazoa; Arthropoda; Insecta; Lepidoptera; Bombycidae. The record is from RNAcentral.
UACUGUUGCUUCAUGGGGUCAACAAUAA